GACUGUAGUCGAUUGUGGAGCGUUGUAUAGGCAAGAGUAAUUCUCACUUCAAUUGGCUCAUUAACGGCGACGGUCACUGAAGUAAAUCUGAAAGCGGCAAGGUCGCGACACUUUGAGACUACUCCGGCGGUGAUCUGUCCGCGAGUGACGACAGAAUCCGCUUUCGCGAUUCCCAUAUUAAAAACGAUAGAUUCACAUUUCUACAGACAUUGAAAGGAAACUCGAGCGAUUGCGAUUGACACGAGCCUUGCUAGGCCAAGGAUAUUCAGAAGAUUGCCCUCGAGUGAAACUCUUCUAUUGCGCUGGUUUUGGAGCUGGCAGUGAUGGGGAAAUAACUCGAAAGACUGCUGCUUUGGCUGAAAACGCUUUUGGUUGUCGAUUUGGCGUCAAUGCUCGUCGGAAUGGCUUUAAAAGGGAGAGCUAUUGAAGGGUCUCGCUUGAAACUCUUCUAUAGCCCUGAUGUCGGGGCUGACGGUGGGUGGCAACUAACUCAUUAUAGCCUGCUCCGCUUUUGUUUGUUCACGCCUGACUGCUCGCCUGAGUGACAGCCGCGCACCCCGUGCAGCACCUGUUACACAUACAUGCGACGCUGCGUCACUUCUCGGAAAGGCUAUAGAAGGGAGGGCUAUUGAAGAUUUUGACUUUAUUACGUAACAAAAUGUUCACUUUUGGAAUUGAGAUUUUACAUCAUUCUCUUGUGUUUUGUAUAGCUCUUUUUGUAUUGAAUCCUGAAAUAACAGUAAUCUUGAUGUAAAUGCAGUAUUGUACUUCAUUUAAUGAACUAAGCGUGUAGAUUUUAAUAAAUAAAAUGUAUCUGUGAAUA
Belonocnema kinseyi is the source of this 823-nucleotide long non-coding RNA. RefSeq lists it as uncharacterized. Lineage: Eukaryota; Metazoa; Arthropoda; Insecta; Hymenoptera; Cynipidae. The record is from RefSeq and is a predicted model, not a curated record. The transcript is spliced from 3 exons.